RNAcentral lists this ribosomal RNA (439 nucleotides) under uncultured fungus. Its description in RNAcentral is "partial small subunit ribosomal RNA". Lineage: Eukaryota; Fungi. The record is from RNAcentral.
GCUUGUCUCAAAGAUUAAGCCGGAAUAAUAUUUGCGCGAAACGGGAAUUUGGCCGAAAGGCCUUCCCUGCGGAUCGGCGUUCCGCGAAAGGAUAUUCAGCGCCUGAAUCGGGCGUCAGGCCCAGUGCAUCUGCACCCGGUGCGCCGCGGCCCAAUGGAUGGCGCGGAUGGCGUCGAUGACGGCCUCGGUCGCCGCGCGGGUUCCCAGUUCGCCGCCCAGGUCGGCCGUGACCGCGCCCGCCGCCAGGACCGCCGCGACGGCCGCCUCGAUGGAAUCCGCCUCGUCUUCCAGCUUCAGGCUGUGACGCAACAGCAGGGCCGCCGACAGGAUGGUCCCGACCGGAUUGGCCAGAUCCUGGCCCGCGAUGUCCGGCGCCGAGCCGUGGAUCGGCUCGAACAGGCCCGGGCCCUCCGCGCCCAGCGAGGCGGAAGGCAGCAGG